RNAcentral lists this ribosomal RNA (500 nucleotides) under uncultured bacterium. RNAcentral's name for it is "partial 16S ribosomal RNA". It matches the Rfam family "Bacterial small subunit ribosomal RNA", at positions 30 to 523 of the family's 1533-position model. The record is from RNAcentral.
AUUGAACGCUGGCGGAAUGCUUUACACAUGCAAGUCGAACGGCAGCACGGACUUCGGUCUGGUGGCGAGUGGUGAACGGGUGAGUAAUACAUCGGAACGUGCCCAGUCGUGGGGGAUAACGUAGCGAGAGCUACGCUAAUACCGCAUACGAUCUAAGGAUGAAAGCGGGGGAUCGCAAGACCUCGCACGAUUGGAGCGGCCGAUGGCAGAUUAGGUAGUUGGUAGGGUAAAGGCCUACCAAGCCGACGAUCUGUAGCUGGUCUGAGAGGAUGAUCAGCCACACUGGGACUGAGACACGGCCCAGACUCCUACGGGAGGCAGCAGUGGGGAAUUUUGGACAAUGGGCGCAAGCCUGAUCCAGCCAUUCCGCGUGCAGGAUGAAGGCCUUCGGGUUGUAAACUGCUUUUGUACAGAACGAAAAGGCUCUGGUUAAUACCCGGGGCUCAUGACGGUACUGUAAGAAUAAGCACCGGCUAACUACGUGCCAGCCGCCGCCGUAA